ACGACAGGAGAAAGGGAAAUGAAAAGAAAACGACCCACCCCCCUUUCGUUUUUCCCCAAAGAUGGAUGAUUUAAAGACAUCACGUGAAGCCUAGACCUGUUUUGAAUCCUGAUGAAUUUCCUCCUCGUCGUCAGACGGCGCCUGACCAUUCUCUAUUUUAACGCAAUGCGGAAUCUCACACCCACGUGUACCAGUAGACCCCUUGUCCUUGGAUUACCGACUAAUCCUGGCUCGGAUGGUGAAAAUGAGAGCUGCUUGUCCGGGCACUCCAGGCUAUCUCAUCCUCUCAAUGGUCAUUUCAAUUCCACAAGGUCUUUUGGAACACAGGCUCCUGGCUCCUCCUUUUUCUUGGCUCUGGCACGUCACUGGCUGUGACCGCGGCGACCGUACCUCCAGGAGGAAUCCCAGUGUCCUCUCUGUUGUACCGAGCCUGUGGGGUUCGUUAGUGCUGGUGUGCACUCGCCUGGUUGGGCUGCAUUAUGGGAACAAGAACAGCUUUCACUUCUGGUGGAUCAUGCACUGUAAUGUUCCAGGGGUGCUUGAUGCUUUUGUUUUUAUUCAUUUAUGAGAACAUUUAAUUGUUUCAUUAGAGGCUGUAUUUGUUUAUGUUAAGGUUAAGGUGUAGUUAGAGGCUACUGAGACAGGGGAUCCCCAUAGCUGCUUAACAAAUAGCCUCAUAUGAAAUUCGAAUGAGCAGUCUGUGGCGGACUACAAUAGAAUUUAUGAAAAACUGACGGUAGAGAAUAGAACACAAUAUGUUCUACAAAAUGGACAAUAGAUCAGAAACAGCAGGGCACCUGAACAUGUCAGCACUAGAAUAUGGAGGGGCCUUAGUUGAUGUUUGUGUCAGUGAAUCAGCUUCUAGAAAAACACUGGAACAGCUGCCAAAUUCUACACUGCUAGAUCUAACGCUGCUCUCACUCUCAUGAAUAUUGCAGCAUUGCAGUAUUAUAAAGCAUUCAGUCUGAGGCUGAGCUAGCAUUACCGUAACAGCACUCAGCACAGUA
Clupea harengus (Atlantic herring) is the source of this 1007-nucleotide long non-coding RNA. Lineage: Eukaryota; Metazoa; Chordata; Actinopteri; Clupeiformes; Clupeidae. The record is from Ensembl.